GUGAUUAGAGUUUGAUCAUGGCUCAGAUUGAACGCUGGCGGCAGGCCUAACACAUGCAAGUCGAGCGGAUGAGGAGAGCUGCUCUCUGAUUCAGCGGCGGGACGGGUGAGUAAUGCCUAGGAAUCUGCCUGAUAGUGGGGGACAACGUUUCGAAAGGAACGCUAAUACCGCAUACGUCCUACGGGAGAAAGCAGGGGACCUUCGGGCCUUGCGCUAUCAGAUGAGCCUAGGUCGGAUUAGCUAGUUGGUGAGGUAAUGGCUCACCAAGGCGACGAUCCGUAACUGGUCUGAGAGGAUGAUCAGUCACACUGGAACUGAGACACGGUCCAGACUCCUACGGGAGGCAGCAGUGGGGAAUAUUGGACAAUGGGCGAAAGCCUGAUCCAGCCAUGCCGCGUGUGUGAAGAAGGUCUUCGGAUUGUAAAGCACUUUAAGUUGGGAGGAAGGGCAUUAACCUAAUACGUUAGUGUUUUGACGUUACCGACAGAAUAAGCACCGGCUAACUUCGUGCCAGCAGCCGCGGUAAUACGAAGGGUGCAAGCGUUAAUCGGAAUUACUGGGCGUAAAGCGCGCGUAGGUGGUUUGUUAAGUUGAAUGUGAAAGCCCCGGGCUCAACCUGGGAACUGCAUCCAAAACUGGCAAGCUAGAGUAUGGCAGAGGGUGGUGGAAUUUCCUGUGUAGCGGUGAAAUGCGUAGAUAUAGGAAGGAACACCAGUGGCGAAGGCGACCACCUGGGCUAAUACUGACACUGAGGUGCGAAAGCGUGGGGAGCAAACAGGAUUAGAUACCCUGGUAGUCCACGCCGUAAACGAUGUCGGCUAGCCGUUGGGAUCCUUGAGAUCUUAGUGGCGCAGCUAACGCAUUAAGUCGACCGCCUGGGGAGUACGGCCGCAAGGUUAAAACUCAAAUGAAUUGACGG
This 919-nucleotide ribosomal RNA is filed under the name uncultured bacterium. Its description in RNAcentral is "bacterial SSU rRNA". It matches the Rfam family "Bacterial small subunit ribosomal RNA", at positions 1 to 916 of the family's 1533-position model. The record is from RNAcentral.